AGCUCCAAUAGCGUAUAUUAAAGUUGUUGCAGUUAAAAAGCUCGUAGUUGGAUUUCGGAAGGUCCUUAGUAAUCCGCCCCUUCGGGGAGCGGGUUGCUGGCCUCCUAUGUUCCUAACGGUCCUCAUCCGCGAGGGUGGGGAAUCAACCGCUAGGAUCGUUUACUUUGAGGAAAUUAGAGUGUUCAAAGCAGGCGUAACUCGCCUCCGAAUACGUUAGCAUGGGAUAAUGGAAUACGACUUCGGUCUUGUUUCGUUGGUUUCGCUUGGCUGAAGUAAUGAUUGAUAGGGACAGUUGGGGGCAUUAGUAUUUAGUUGUCAGAGGUGAAAUUCUAGGAUUUACUAAAGACUGACCAAUGCGAAAGCAUUUGCCAAGGAUGUUUUCAUUAAUCAAGAACGAAAGUAGGGGGAUCGAAGACGAUCAGAUACCGUCGUAGUCUCUACCGUAAACUAUGCCGACCAGGGAUCCGGAGAGUUUGCAUGGAUGACUCCCCGGGCACCUUGUGAGAAAUCAUAAGUGUUUGGGUUUUGGGGGGAGUAUGGUCGCAAGGCUGAAACUUAAAGGAAUUGACGGAAGGGCACCACCAGGAGUGGAACCUGCG
This 599-nucleotide ribosomal RNA is filed under the name Vermamoeba vermiformis. RNAcentral's name for it is "SSU rRNA". It matches the Rfam family "Eukaryotic small subunit ribosomal RNA", at positions 587 to 1187 of the family's 1831-position model. Lineage: Eukaryota; Tubulinea; Echinamoebida; Vermamoebidae. The record is from RNAcentral.